Molecule: non-coding RNA, 28 nt
Filed under: Homo sapiens (human)
Lineage: Eukaryota; Metazoa; Chordata; Mammalia; Primates; Hominidae
Source: RNAcentral
GCAGGUUCACCUGGAGGAAGGGGUGUUA